RNAcentral lists this ribosomal RNA (484 nucleotides) under uncultured bacterium. RNAcentral describes it as "partial 16S ribosomal RNA". It matches the Rfam family "Bacterial small subunit ribosomal RNA", at positions 30 to 507 of the family's 1533-position model. The record is from RNAcentral.
AUUGAACGCUGGCGGCAGGCCUAACACAUGCAAGUCGAGCGGUAGAGAGAAGCUUGCUUCUCUUGAGAGCGGCGGACGGGUGAGUAAUGCCUAGGAAUCUGCCUGGUAGUGGGGGAUAACGUUCGGAAACGGACGCUAAUACCGCAUACGUCCUACGGGAGAAAGCAGGGGACCUUCGGGCCUUGCGCUAUCAGAUGAGCCUAGGUCGGAUUAGCUAGUUGGUGAGGUAAUGGCUCACCAAGGCGACGAUCCGUAACUGGUCUGAGAGGAUGAUCAGUCACACUGGAACUGAGACACGGUCCAGACUCCUACGGGAGACAGCAGUGGGGAAUAUUGGACAAAGGGCGAAAGCCUGAUCCAGCCAUGCCGCGUGUGUGAAGAAGGUCUUCGGAUUGUAAAGCACUUUAAGUUGGGAGGAAGGGUUGUAGAUUAAUACGCUGCAAUUUUGACGUUACCGACAGAAUAAGCACCGGCUAACUCUGUG